GCGCUUGCAACCAGACUUGACCCGACGGGUUCCCCCUGGCUUCUGCCCGGGCUACUCCCGUCGGUGCAGGCCAACAUCGGUUGUGGGGGUCGGUCAAAGGCGCGGGGAAUGUACCUUGUCCUUCGGGGCAAGACUUAUAGCCCCGCGUGUCAUGCGGCCUCCCGCGACCGAGGAACGCGCUUCGGCUCGGAUGUUGGCGUAAUGGUUGUAAGCGACCCGUCUUGAAACACGGACCAAGGAGUC
Molecule: ribosomal RNA, 243 nt
Filed under: Exophiala polymorpha
Lineage: Eukaryota; Fungi; Ascomycota; Eurotiomycetes; Chaetothyriales; Herpotrichiellaceae
Description: partial large subunit ribosomal RNA
Source: RNAcentral